UUGAAAGAUGGCUUCGGCUAUCACUUUUGGAUGGUCCCGCGGCGUAUUAGCUAGAUGGUGGGGUAACGGCUCACCAUGGCAAUGAUACGUAGCCGACCUGAGAGGGUAAUCGGCCACAUUGGGACUGAGACACGGCCCAAACUCCUACGGGAGGCAGCAGUAGGGAAUCUUCCACAAUGGACGAAAGUCUGAUGGAGCAACGCCGCGUGAGUGAAGAAGGGUUUCGGCUCGUAAAACUCUGUUGUUAAAGAAGAACAUAUCUGAGAGUAACUGUUCAGGUAUUGACGGUAUUUAACCAGAAAGCCACGGCUAACUACGUGCCAGCAGCCGCGGUAAUACGUAGGUGGCAAGCGUUGUCCGGAUUUAUUGGGCGUAAAGCGAGCGCAGGCGGUUUUUUAAGUCUGAUGUGAAAGCCUUCGGCUCAACCGAAGAAGUGCAUCGGAAACUGGGAAACUUGAGUGCAGAAGAGGACAGUGGAACUCCAUGUGUAGCGGUGAAAUGCGUAGAUAUAUGGAAGAACACCAGUGGCGAAGGCGGCUGUCUGGUCUGUAACUGACGCUGAGGCUCGAAAGUAUGGGUAGCAAACAGGAUUAGAUACCCUGGUAGUCCAUACCGUAAACGAUGAAUGCUAAGUGUUGGAGGGUUUCCGCCCUUCAGUGCUGCAGCUAACGCAUUAAGCAUUCCGCCUGGGGAGUACGGCCGCAAGGCUGAAACUCAAAGGAAUUGACGGGGGCCCGCACAAGCGGUGGAGCAUGUGGUUUAAUUCGAAGCUACGCGAAGAACCUUACCAGGUCUUGACAUACUAUGCAAAUCUAAGAGAUUAGACGUUCCCUUCGGGGACAUGGAUACAGGUGGUGCAUGGUUGUCGUCAGCUCGUGUCGUGAGAUGUUGGGUUAAGUCCCGCAACGAGCGCAACCCUUAUUAUCAGUUGCCAGCAUUAAGUUGGGCACUCUGGUGAGACUGCCGGUGACAAACCGGAGGAAGGUGGGGAUGACGUCAAAUCAUCAUGCCCCUUAUGACCUGGGCUACACACGUGCUACAAUGGAUGGUACAACGAGUUGCGAACUCGCGAGAGUAAGCUAAUCUCUUAAAGCCAUUCUCAGUUCGGAUUGUAGGCUGCAACUCGCCUACAUGAAGUCGGAAUCGCUAGUAAUCGCGGAUCAGCAUGCCGCGGUGAAUACGUUCCCGGGCCUUGUACACACCGCCCGUCACACCAUGAGAGUUUGUAACACCCAAAGUCGGUGGGGUAACCUUUUAGGAACCAGCCGCCUAAGGUGGGACAGAUGAUUAGGGUGAAGUCGUAACAAGGUAGCCGUAGGAGAACCUGCGGCUGGAUCACCUCCUUU
This 1346-nucleotide ribosomal RNA is filed under the name Lactiplantibacillus plantarum. Its description in RNAcentral is "bacterial SSU rRNA". It matches the Rfam family "Bacterial small subunit ribosomal RNA", at positions 200 to 1533 of the family's 1533-position model. RNAcentral also lists the same sequence under 2 other names. The record is from RNAcentral. Lineage: Bacteria; Bacillati; Bacillota; Bacilli; Lactobacillales; Lactobacillaceae.